RNAcentral lists this ribosomal RNA (253 nucleotides) under uncultured bacterium. Its description in RNAcentral is "partial 16S ribosomal RNA". It matches the Rfam family "Bacterial small subunit ribosomal RNA", at positions 524 to 776 of the family's 1533-position model. The record is from RNAcentral.
UACGAAGGGGGCUAGCGUUGUUCGGAAUUACUGGGCGUAAAGGGCGCGUAGGCGGCUCGACGAGUCGGGUGUGAAAGGCCUGGGCUUAACCCGGGAAAUGCGCACGAUACUGUCGAGCUCGAGUGUGGGAGAGGAUGGCGGAAUUCCCAGUGUAGAGGUGAAAUUCGUAGAUAUUGGGAAGAACACCAGUGGCGAAGGCGGCCAUCUGGACCACAACUGACGCUUAGGCGCGAAAGCGUGGGGAGCAAACAGG